AGUGAGCGCUGGCGGUAGGCCUAACACAUGCAAGUCGAACGGCAGCACAGUAAGAGCUUGCUCUUACGGGUGGCGAGUGGCGGACGGGCGAGGAAUACAUCGGAAUCUACUUUUUCGUGGGGGAUAACGUAGGGAAACUUACGCUAAUACCGCAUACGACCUACGGGUGAAAGCAGGGGAUCUUCGGACCUUGCGCGAUUGAAUGAGCCGAUGUCGGAUUAGCUAGUUGGCGGGGUAAAGGCCCACCAAGGCGACGAUCCGUAGCUGGUCUGAGAGGAUGAUCAGCCACACUGGAACUGAGACACGGUCCAGACUCCUACGGGAGGCAGCAGUGGGGAAUAUUGGACAAUGGGCGCAAGCCUGAUCCAGCCAUACCGCGUGGGUGAAGAAGGCCUUCGGGUUGUAAAGCCCUUUUGUUGGGAAAGAAAAGCAGCAGGUUAAUACCCCGCUGUUCUGACGGUACCCAAAGAAUAAGCACCGGCUAACUUCGUG
Molecule: ribosomal RNA, 492 nt
Filed under: uncultured bacterium
Lineage: Bacteria
Description: partial 16S ribosomal RNA
Rfam family: Bacterial small subunit ribosomal RNA
Source: RNAcentral